UUGAAUUCCUCCGUAUCAUUCGUCACUGGCGUCUCCGUCUUGUCAUCUUUCACCACCGAUAGAUACUGAUGCUGAGUCCUGAACAUGAAGAGACAAGGGUUGAGUUGUUUUUGAAGAGGAACACGCUGUUGUCUGUCCACCAGCAGGUGAAGGAGACAAAGAAGAGUUGUAGCAUUCAUCCUCGCGUCUGAGGGAAGAAUAACCACACGGUGUGUUGACAGAGUGACUGGGAUGCAGAUAUCCAAUGAAGGGAAUCAAACAUGCAAAAUCCAGAGAGAAAAAAAUGGCAUCAAGCAACGAGACGUCAGGAUGAAACAUUAACAGAAACCACAUCCACAACCCUGCUGACAUCCCCAACAUCAGUUCUCAUUGACUGCCAACAAUUGGAACGCCUUGCUUAAAGCCUGGCUGAAGACAGAACAAUGGCAGCAUUCAGAAAACAGCUCCAACACCUCUGCAACGGAGGCAUCAACCCAUGACAGUGACUCAAGGUCUGACUCAGCUCAGCUGGUGCUGUCCAUUGCUCUGUGGAAAAUGUUUUGUUCUAACUAAGAAAGAUGGAGGCCUUCCUCUAAAGUGGAGGGCUGAUGGAAGUGAUUAUAGGCGUCUGGGCGUAAUUCAACUCCCCUCGGACUUAGUUCUUUAAAUAGCUUGAUGGAGUGGGCUACGGGUAGAGCGGAUGUGGGAGUUCCUGUGCUCUGAUGUGGGGGCUGGGACCACACGACCAUGGCGGCAUGCCCACCCCCUGGGGAAGCGAUACGCAUAUGCCAUCCAGCUCAAAUAAGGAGCCCUGCAAAAGCCCUGUGUUUAGAACUGUAAGGUAGAUGUGGCAGAUGUGUAGCCAAACUGAAAAGCUUCCACUUUUAAAGCUAAUUCUGGCGACACUGGUAAAGUAAUUAUUCAUUCACAUUAUGACCCCUA
Pimephales promelas (fathead minnow) is the source of this 921-nucleotide non-coding RNA. The record is from RefSeq and is a predicted model, not a curated record. Lineage: Eukaryota; Metazoa; Chordata; Actinopteri; Cypriniformes; Leuciscidae.